GCAUACGUGUAGAUUUAUUCAAUCUGGGUCGGUUUAGAUUAUUUAGGUCUUUCCAGCAGAAACAAACUACCUUAAAGUUAACCCAAAGGAAAACAACGCAAGAACACGCGGCAAUACCUCAUUGUAUUAAAUUGGGGAAAGAGCCAAAUAAUCCGCCACCUGACUAUCGUGCUAGAUAACCACAAUCUGGUGAUGUUAGAAAACAUGUUGACACUUUUGCAAAAAACACAAUUAUUAUGCAUCUUAGGCCCAAUUUUGCAGGUGGUGGGAAAGCGAAUUUUAAAAGUUUGUGAGUGCUUUUUGGCUUAAUUUAUGAUCUUUAAUCGAUAAGCAUUGAAAUAAGGACACUAAUCGUGGUACUUUUACUGAAUUUCCUGACAAGCGCUUUUUCCGUUUUUCGAAACUCCUUUGAUUUACAUUUAGAAAAAUUAACCUCACUUUUGCAACUGAAAAAUUCAAACAACACCAUCGCCAGCCGCUUCAGCUCACACCAAUGGCGCGUAUUGAGGACAUAGAUAAAAAGGAUUGAGAUUGAAAACUUGAUAUUCCUUUCUAAAUAAGUUAUUCAGCAUUUCUAUUACAUCACACUCCGGCUGUUUACUCUGUAGAUUAAGUCCCCACAGUAAGCGGGUGCAAAAAUCGUUAAAUAGAUAUCAGAUACUUACCUUUAGUUGUCAAGUAUCUGCUUUACUUUAUAAACGAAUAUCUGGAUACAAAAAAAAUUUGUUUGUAUGGCUAAUUUACGUUGUAGUACGUCACAUUGAGUAUCAAGACACUGGCUGCUCAGCUGGUUUAAUUGUAUACUGUGCCUACAUCUAGCGGGAUAACCUGGAAUGUUCCGAGCCGAUACGAUUUUGACGCAAAACCUAAACUAAUGAACUGUAGACAGUGAUGCCAUACUAGGGCUUUUUCUCAAUUAGUCAUUUGUUAUAAUUAUCUAGGGAUUUUCAAAAUUGUUCGAUUAUUGCACAAAAAUUAAUUUUGGGAGAAAAUAUUAAAACAUCUGACUACAGAAAGGCAACAAGCAGAGAGGAACCCCAAUUUGUUUUAAGAAAUAUCAAUUACGAGAAGAUUACAAAUUGAAGCGAAAUUACGAGUUCCAUUUUUUAAUAUUUUUUAAAUGUAAUAUACCGUUUACCAUAAUAUUUUUUGUCCCACUUAUCAUUUUUCUUUGAAUGUCUAGGGAAAACUAGGGAUUUUAAGGGACCAUCUGGGAAUUUUGAUUUUACAGAUCUUUCAUCACUGUAGAAUUUGACAUAAUUAUUCUUAAAUCUAAUCGCCUAAAAACCUUCGAAAGUAAAGUAAUAUGUUUUGUGGCGAACUCUAUCCGCCACUUCUCAAUUAGCAGCUCCAACCGAAACGCCAGCUAUAUCUCAUCGCAUAACAUCUGUGGCGUUUCGAUUCAAAUAGAACUUUCAACCUAUGUUCCGUAACCGGCGUCUAAGGCAGGGCCUACCUAAGCCUUACUGACGAGUCCAAUAGGUAGGCCCGGGACGAAACGCAUGGUGCUUCAACGCGCCAUAGUUUAUUUACGUUAACCAUACAGUAGAAUAAAUAUUCCGUAAAUGCACUGGUACAUUGGUGUUAGGCUAUCAUUUGAAAUAACUGUAAGAAACGUUUUUUUGGUCCAACAUUACUUCAGAUAAGUAGGUAUAAGAUGCAUCUAAUUUUUACCCUGUAAGACACAAAUCCUCCAAUUAACAAAAAAAAUAUAAGAGAACAGAAGCCAUGAACUGUAUUCAAAUUAU
Long non-coding RNA from Dendroctonus ponderosae (mountain pine beetle), 1748 nucleotides. RefSeq lists it as uncharacterized. The transcript is spliced from 2 exons. NCBI's taxonomy places the organism in Eukaryota, Metazoa, Arthropoda, Insecta, Coleoptera, Curculionidae. The record is from RefSeq and is a predicted model, not a curated record.